GCCGUUUUUUACAGUGCAUUGUGGGAAGACUUGCUCACUUCAGGUUAGUAGUCGAACAACAACAGUAUGUCACUGUUAUUUAACGGUAUUAUAUCAUAUUUUUUUUAUUUGUGCGACGUGUAUUAUCACCACGAGGUAAUUAGAGUGCACCUUUAUCUAUGUUUGUCAUAUCUUUAAAAAUAUUACUGAGGGUUUUUUUAUAAUUAUUUCUAAAGUAUUUCUAAAAAUAACAUUAUAAAAACAUGUGGGUAACGGAUCAAUUAAAACAGAGACCAUCGUAGCUGGGUGCCACGGACGGAUGCCGAAAGUGUGUUUAGGCUACACACAGAAAACAAAAAUCUGGCGCGACACGGAGCUGCGGAACUUCCAUACUGCAUUACAUUUUCCAUCGUGUUGCUAACAGGUCCAAGUGAUACUCAAGGGCAGUGGAUGAAACAAUGGAUGAUCAGCUUGGAGGGCAGAAUAAUCUGUGAGGGUGUGCAACCAACCUUUCUGUCUGGACUUGCUGCUUUGUUUUCACUGUAUUACAUCUUUAACCUGCAAUAUCAAGAGGAAGCAGCAUCCACAUUGGAAUUCCUUCAAAGACGAUUUGUUGGAAUAAAUCCGGAAAAAGGGACCAAGGCUGCAAAAGGAAAAGUGACAUCUAAAAAGACUGGGAAAACUGUUCAAAAGAAGACCAUGACAGUCAAUCUGAAAGUGUCAAAUCUUUUAAAAAGAUUGAUGGACUUUGAGUGGCACUUUAUUUAAAAUGUUUUUUGUUUUACAGUGGUUUGUAUAUACUGUUUUUUUUUUUUUUUUGUAUUCUACUUUUUAUAUCCAGAAAGGUCUUGUCUUUGAUAAAGCCUUGUGUUGAUUUAUUUAUUUUCAUUAUUUUUUUUCGGAAGCUUGAUUUGAAGCUUGUUUAUUAUUUAAUGUCAAGUUGAGGCAUUUUGAAAUUGUGUUUGUUUUCUUAAGCCAUCUUUGUAUUUCUCCAUGUUAUGGGUGCUUAUUUGUUGCACCAUAGUUUAUGCACUCAAAAAUAUGAUGGCUUGCAUUUUUCACAUUUCUUUUUGGCACAACAAACAGCUUAACAAUUAAUAUAAUGUUAAAUGGAAAUAAAGAAGGACUAAAACAGUAAGUUGGCAUUAUUUAUUUUGUUUUCCACAAAUAUAAAAUGCAGGGUAUAAUAGCAUUUGCAAUUUAGAAUAAUUGGGCUGUGAUUAAAAUGUAUAUUAACAGCUAUAUACUGCUAAAUAACAGUUGUAUGCUGUAGCUAACAAAACAGUAUCUUGCUGUUAAUUUUAAUAACAGUAACCCACUGUUUUUUAACAGUGCAAUGCUGGCAACCACAGCUGCCAGUAGAUUACCGUUUUUUUACAGCAUUUUUUUUUACA
Clarias gariepinus (North African catfish) is the source of this 1373-nucleotide long non-coding RNA. RefSeq lists it as uncharacterized. NCBI's taxonomy places the organism in Eukaryota, Metazoa, Chordata, Actinopteri, Siluriformes, Clariidae. The transcript is spliced from 3 exons. The record is from RefSeq and is a predicted model, not a curated record.